Molecule: long non-coding RNA, 1625 nt
Filed under: Physcomitrium patens
Lineage: Eukaryota; Viridiplantae; Streptophyta; Bryopsida; Funariales; Funariaceae
Description: long non-coding RNA (PPAT_LNC014326)
Source: RNAcentral
UGUGCAAGAGGUAUAUAGAUUCUCAUAACCAACCAACUAGGAUUUGAUCGCCACCUACAAAUCUUCAAAACACGAUUUGAAGGCCACCUGUAAACACAAAAUAAAUGACCGAUUAAAGCCGUCAAUAAACAUGCACCUAGCAUAAGAUCUUGUUUCCAAACAGAUUUUCCAUCUAAUGAUUUCUUUCAGUAACUUCUUUAUCAUUUUAAAUACUUCUUCACCAGACGAAUGCUGUCCCAACGUUGCAGGUUGAGAAAUGGCACUCUAAUCCACAGAAUCAAAUCAAAAGAAGACUUAGCCUCUACGAAUGGCAACAUCAGUUGCACUUGAGUCGGUAAGUGAUCGGUACCGACCCGGAAUGGCAUUGGAUGUCACGCCAAGAAAUCUACGUCGAAGGUGUAAUCCGCCUAAUUGACAUCUAACGUUGGUUAAAUCUGCUGAUUCUCCGAAACAAACAAAAAAGGAAAAAAACAAAAAACAAAAAAAACACAGCAAAAAUGGUGGAAUGUGAAUUAGGUUUAAGAAACUUAAGCAGAUGAUGGAAAGUUGAGACGAAGGAGAUGAUCGAUCAAGGGAGGGUGAAGUUGCCGACCACUGUUCUGAUCAUGGACUCAGUUGUUGGAAUGUGAACGGCACUUCGGAUGAUGCUUGAAGUUCGAGAUUGUCCAGAUUGUCUGGAUUUCUUUCAAGGAGAUCAUCUUUUGACACCUCCUUGACUGCCUUUGCUGAUGCCCAACAUUCAGGAGAGGAUCAUCUACAAUCGUCAGACCAAUUUGCGUGACCAUUUGACGUUCGUUUGUCACAUUGCACUCAAAUCGACCACGAUGGAGAUUCAGCAGUUGUGAAAAUCUUUGACAAACCCUCUCUCGGAGCAUAACCUAGUGCAGCUGAGAUAUGCUCAAAUUUCGAAGCUCGCAGAUCGUGAAAGGAGGUGCGUAAUUUGAGAUAGGCCGAGGUGGACCUAACAAGGGAACAGUCCACAUUGCUUGAUUACCAACAACAUAUCGAGAAAGCAAGGAUAUCUCGAAUGAACAAAAAGUUAACCCUAACCAAAUCCAGCGCAACCCACAAACCGUAAUGGUUAAAUAAAACUUCGCAUCAUGCGGAACACCGGCGUACCCACACAGCGGACGCUUUCGAGCCUUGAAGACGAGGUAGAGAUUGGCAGAAAGGCGGAGACCAACAUAGAUCCGCAUCAAACUUGCGAAGCGUCUAACGUAAAGUGCAAUGGGAAGCAUAUCUGCCUGCGUGUAGCAGAUAAGGGAAGAAUCGGAAGCUCAUUUAUCUCGGCCUAUGACGAUGAGAGCUUUGAUUGUGUGCUUGCGAACGUCGUGACAACUACUGAGAUCCACUGGCUGUUGAUCGCCACAGAUUCCCUUGUCCCCUUUGGCAUUGCUCACGGCCCUCCUUGGUCAUCGCAGAUGCUUUCACAAGCGAUGUACGCGGCGCAAUCAGCUCAGGUUAACAUAUACAUCAGUUGGAUGGUUUCCAGUCUGUGCAAAGAUGCCGCUGGUCCCACUGGUCUACACAUUGACCGAGUAAAAACUUCAUUUUUGGGUUUACUCUUCGAUGAAGAACAAUCAAUGCUCGUCAGCUGAAAGAAAUUUGUGCUUCGACGAGAGGAC